Molecule: ribosomal RNA, 495 nt
Filed under: uncultured bacterium
Lineage: Bacteria
Description: partial 16S ribosomal RNA
Rfam family: Bacterial small subunit ribosomal RNA
Source: RNAcentral
GACGAACGCUGGCGGCGUGCCUAAUACAUGCAAGUAGAACGCUGAAGGAGGAGCUUGCUUCUCUGGAUGAGUUGCGAACGGGUGAGUAACGCGUAGGUAACCUGCCUGGUAGCGGGGGAUAACUAUUGGAAACGAUAGCUAAUACCGCAUAAGAGUAGAUGUUGCAUGACAUUUGCUUAAAAGGUGCAAUUGCAUCACUACCAGAUGGACCUGCGUUGUAUUAGCUAGUUGGUGGGGUAACGGCUCACCAAGGCGACGAUACAUAGCCGACCUGAGAGGGUGAUCGGCCACACUGGGACUGAGACACGGCCCAGACUCCUACGGGAGGCAGCAGUAGGGAAUCUUCGGCAAUGGACGGAAGUCUGGCCGAGCAACGCCGCGUGAGGGAAGAAGGUUUUCGGAUCGUAAAGCUCUGUUGUAAGAGAAGAACGAGUGUGAGAGUGGAAAGUUCACACUGUGACGGUAUCUUACCAGAAAGGGACGGCUAACUACGUG